UGAUGACGAGACGCUAAGGCGUUGAAGCAGUGUAUGUCAGACUUCCAAGAAAAGCUCGCAAUGUCAUAAAUAAAGAAUGCCUGUACCAUAACCGACACAGGUGGGUAGGUAGAGUAUACUAAGGGGCGCGAGAUAACUCUCUCUAAGGAACUCGGCAAAAUGACUCCGUAACUUCGGGAGAAGGAGUGCCUUAUUUAUAAGGUUGCAAUAACAAGAUCCAAGCAACUGUUUAUCAAAAACACAGGUCUCCGCUAAGUCGUAAGACGAUGUAUGGGGGCUGACGCCUGCCCAGUGCCAGAAGGUUAAAGAAGAUGGUUAGUGUAUGCGAAGCUGAUGACUGAAGCCCUGGUGAACGGCGGCCGUAACAAUAACGGUCCUAAGGUAGCGAAAUUCCUUGUCGGGUAAGUUCCGACCCGCACGAAAGGCGUAAUGAUUUGGAUACUGUCUCGGAGAGAGGCUCGGUGAAAUAGACUUGUCUGUGAAGAUGCGGACUACCUGCACCAGGACAGAAAGACCCUAUGAAGCUUUACUGUAACUUGAAAUUGGAAUUGGACUUUGCUUGCGCAGUAUAGGUGGGAAGCGUUGAAAAUAUUCUUGCGGGAGUAUUGGAGCUAUCAGUGAGAUACCACUCUUGUAAUGUUAGAUUUCUAACUUUGAACCAUAAUCUGGUCAAAGAACAGUUUCAGGUGGGCAGUUUGACUGGGGCGGUCGCCUCCCAAAUGGUAACGGAGGCGUACAAAGGUUUCCUCUGAACGGAUAGAAAUCGUAUCUAGAGUGUAAAGGCAUAAGGAAGCUUGACUGUGAGACCUACAAGUCGAGCAGGGACGAAAGUCGGUCUUAGUGAUCUGACGGUACUGAGUGGAAAGGCCGUCACUCAACGGAUAAAAGUUACUCUAAGGAUAACAGGCUGAUCUCCCCCAAGAGUUCACAUCGACGGGGAGGUUUGGCACCUCGAUGUCGGCUCAUCGCAUCCUGGGGCGGUAGUACGUCCCAAGGGUUGGGCUGUUCGCCCAUGAAAGCGGUACGCGAGCUGGGUUCAGAACGUCGUGAGACAGUUCGGUCCAUAUCCGGUGUAGGCGCUAGAAUAUUGAGAGGAGCCUUCUUUAGUACGAGAGGACCGAGAAGGACACACCGCUGGUGUACCAGUUAUCGUGCCAACGGUAAACGCUGGGUAGCUAUGUGUGGAGUGGAUAACCGCUGAAAGCAUCUAAGUGGGAAGCCCACCUCGAGAUGAG
This 1235-nucleotide ribosomal RNA is filed under the name metagenome. RNAcentral's name for it is "bacterial LSU rRNA". It matches the Rfam family "Bacterial large subunit ribosomal RNA", at positions 1564 to 2808 of the family's 2925-position model. The record is from RNAcentral.